Molecule: long non-coding RNA, 7820 nt
Filed under: Gossypium barbadense (sea-island cotton)
Lineage: Eukaryota; Viridiplantae; Streptophyta; Magnoliopsida; Malvales; Malvaceae
Description: long non-coding RNA (GBAR_LNC020035)
Source: RNAcentral
GGGAAGGUGAAUAUUUAUACAUAUGGUGGACAAGGUUAUGGGAGGAAUAUUGGGUUUGAUACUUAAUCAACCCAUGUAUAAGAUGGGAGGAAAUAUCAAAAGUACAAAAGAAACAAUUUAAAUACAAACCUGUUUCGAACAACAGCAGUUGGGCAACUUUGAAAAAUUACCAUAAAUGGUGGAAAAUGAAUUGGAGGUUGAAUAAUAUAUGAAAUUAAAUCUGAGUGAGUCUAUUUCCAUAUGAAAGAAACAAAAUAAGCAAAAGAGUUGUAUAUUUGGGGAUAUUUGGAUUUAUUUGAGACAGGGCUGGAUUGAUUUCGGAAUCCCCUGUUCCAACUUUGGAAAAUCACCAAAAAUUGUAUAAAAAUAAUUAUGGCUUGAAAUUUAUAUGUCUGGAUUCCUUAAUGAGUCUAUUUUUAAUAUAAAUAAAUGAUAACAUUGUUUGAAAUUUGUACAGGGAGUUAAGUAAAUUUUAGUAAAGGGAGGUUAGAGUUGUCAGGCAGUGAAACAAGGGAAAAUUUAAAGAAUAAACUGUACUAAUUGGCUAAACCAAAAAUUCUGAAAAUUUUAUGGUGGAAAGGUACAUGAGUCUAGUUUCUGGGAAAAUUCAUGGAAUUCAAUUUGGAGUCUUGUAGCUCCAGAUAAAUUUAAAUUAGUUACUAUGAUGCAGAAAAACAAUUUGUUGGAAAUUGAACAAACAAUGAAAUUUAUUUGUGAUUAAAAUUAUACUAUGGUGUAACCUUGUGAGAAAUUCAUUUAUCUGUCAUAUGUUUACUUACUAAGCUGUAUGUUUACUCGUUUUUAUUUUCCCCUUGAUUAUAGUGACAUCAAUCAACUCGAAACUUGGGCGGAGUCAGAUAAUCAUCUACACUAUCAUCAACGUUUGGGUAUUUUGCAACUCAUAUUUUGGAAACAUGGCAUGUAUAGACGACUUUAUGUAUUAUGGCGUAAACAAAUAUAUAGUGUGUUUCGGUUUAAAAUGUUGAUGGUUAUUAUUAGACAAAUUGAGUAUGAUCAUACAACUGUUUUUGGUUGGAUUAUUGGAUUUGUUUGAAAGUGUGAUUGAAAACUUGCAGGGGGUUGUAUGUAAAAAUAAGCAGAAAUGCUGUCGAAAUUUUUUUAAAAAAAAUAAAAUUAGUAAUACCUCAUACUCUGUUUCGUUAAGGAAUACGGGUAAGGGGUGUUACAUUUUAGUGGUAUCAGAGCUACGGUUUAGUCGGUUCUCGGACAAAUAAAAUAUGUGUGAAAGUCAGCCUAUACAUGCCAUAAAUAUAUUGUGAUAGUGUGAUGAUUUCUAACAAUUUAAAAUUUUGUUUUAUAUAGUAAAUGGAUCCUGACCGAAGUAUGGCAGAUGAUGUUGAAAGUAACGUGCCGGCUUCCGCACAAGGGACAGCGCAUGAAGAGAGUAGACAUGAGACACAUAGCCAGGAUGAGGCUCGGGAAGCCUUCCUUCGGAUGAUGAGUGAUUGGUAUACAGAAUAUGUUCGUGCAAAUCCGAAUGUUCCACCUCCUCCACCUCCUCCACCCCCUCCUAUUCCUCAACCGGUCCCCGUAACUCCACAAAGUGUUGGGUUGGUAAGAUCAAGUAAACCACCAGUUGAUAGAAUUCGAAAGCAUGAGGCUGAAGAUUUUAGGGCUAAUGUUAAUGAUGAUCCGGAAAAAGUAGAGUUUUGGCUUGAAAAUACUAUCCGAGUAUUUGAUGAAUUAUCCUGUACUCCUAAGGAAUGUUUGAAAUGUGCUGUGUCUUUACUGAAGGAUUCAGCAUACCGUUGGUGGAAAACAUUAAUAUCGGUGGUUUCGAAAGAAAGAGUUACUUGGGACUUCUUCUAGGAGGAAUUCAGGAAAAAAUAUAUAAGCCAACGGUUUAUUGAUCAGAAACGCAAGGAGUUUCUCGAAUUGAAACAGGGCCGAAGGUCAGUGGCAGAAUAUGAACAGGAGUUUGUUAGGCUCAGCAAAUAUGCCCAGGAAUGUGUGCCCACAGAGGCUAUUAUGUGUAAAAGAUUCGAAGAGGGGUUAAACGAAGAUAUCAGAUUGCAUGUUGGAGUUUUAGAGUUAAAAGAAUUUGUAGUAUUGGUUGAUCGAGCCUGUAAGGCUGAAGAACUGAGUAACGAAAAGAGAAGAGCGGAGAUGGAAGCUCGAGAUGUAAGAAAAAGGUCAAUGAGCAGGACCUUUCAAUCUAAACCGAAUAAGUUUAAAGGGAUGGAUCCACGACCAACUGGUUCAUCUGGGUAUUCACGUAGAGAUCGAGGGAAAUCAUAUUGUGGAGCUAAAACUCAAGCUACCUCAGUGGCUAGUGCGGGCAGUGUGGGGAAUACCAGACCUGAGUGUCAACAGUGUGGCAGGCGACAUGCUGGUGAGUGUUGGGGAUUUAAACGAGCUUGCUUCAGAUGUGGUUCUCAAGAGCACUAUAUAAAAGAUUUCCCUGAGAGAAUAGAGGAAGAAAGAUUACAAAGAGCUGGAUCGGGUGAUAUUGUUGGUAGAGGUAGACCACCGAGGAAUGUUGGAAGCAAAGCUAGUGGUAAAAGUGUAGUAAAAGAUACAGCUGGGAGAUCAGAAACUAGAGCGCCUGCCAGAACUUAUGCCAUACGUGCUCGUGAGGAUGCAUCAUCUCCCGACGUGAUUACUGGUACAUUUUCUCUUCAUGAUAUUGAUGUUGUUGCUUUGAUUGACCCUGGUUCUACUCAUUCAUAUGUAUGUGUAAAUUUGGUAUCUAGUAAGAAAUUGCCCGUUGAAAAUACUGAAUUUGCAGUUAAAGUAUCAAAUCAUUUAGGCAAGUAUGUCUUAGUCGAUAAGAUUUGCAAGAAUUGUCCUUUGAUGAUUCGAGGUCACUGUUUUCCGGCUAAUUUGAUGUUGUUACCAUUUGAUGAGUUUGAUGUUAUUUUGGGGAUGGAUUGGUUGAUAUUGCAUGAUGCCAAGGUAAAUUGUAGAUAGAAAAUUCUAGAACUAAAAUGUGAAAAUGGUGAAAUUCUCUGGGUUGAAGCAGAGGAGUCGAAUAAAUUGCCUAUGGUGAUUUCGCACAUGUCUGCUCAGAAAUACUUGAGAAAAUGAUGUGAAGCCUAUAUUGCUUAUGUGUUGAAUACUGGUAUAACUGGGUCGAAGCUUGAAUGAGUGCCGGUAGUUUGUGAAUUUCCAGACGUAUUUCCAGAGGAGCUGCCUGGGUUACCUCCGAUUAGAGAAGUUGAGUUUGCUAUUGACUUGUUACCGGAUACUACACCGAUUUCUAUUGCUCUAUAUCGGAUGACUCCGACUAAAUUGAAAGAAUUAAAAGCUCAGCUACAAGAAUUGACAGAUAAAGAAUUUGUGAGGCCAAGUUUUUCUCCUUGGGGUGCUCCUGUGCUAUUCGUGAAAAAGAAUGACGGCUCUAUGAGACUUUGUAUUGACUAUCGUCAGCUCAACAAAGUGACUAUAAAGAACAAGUAUCCUUUGCCGAGAAUUGAUGAUUUGUUUGACCAAUUAAAAGGGGCAACUGUGUUUUCAAAGAUCGAUCUGAGGUCUGGUUACUAUCAGUUGAGAGUUAAAGAGUCCGAUGUGCAAAAAACCGCUUUUAGAACGAGGUAUGGACACUAUGAAUUUCUGGUAAUGCCUUUUGGGUUGACUAAUGCUCCGGCUAUUUUUAUGGAUUUAAUGAACCGAAUUUUUCGGCCGUAUCUGGAUAAAUUUGUGGUCGUGUUCAUAGAUGAUAUUUUAAUUUAUUCACGGGAUGAAUCCGAGCAUGCAGAACAUUUGAGGACUGUGUUGCAGAUUCUGAGAGAAAAGAAAUUGUAUGCUAAAUUCAGCAAAAGUGAGUUUUGGCUUCGUGAGGUUGGAUUCUUGGGACAUAUAGUUUCAAGUGAAGGUAUUCGGGUUGAUCCAAGCAAAAUUUUAGUAAUUGUUGAUUGGGAACCACCAAAGAAUGUAUCCGAAGUUAGAAGCUUUCUGGGCUUAGCCGGGUAUUAUAGAUGCUUUGUCAAGGGAUUUUCGAUGAUUGCUUCUCCUAUGACUAAGUUACUACAGAAGAAUGUCAAGUUUGAAUGGACCGAUAAAUGUCAGCAAAGUUUCGAGAAAUUGAAGGCAUUGUUGACUGAGGCGCCAGUGUUGGUGCAACCUGAGUCAGGGAAGGAGUUUGUAAUUUACAGUGAUGCAUCGUUGAAUGGUCUUGGGUGUGUGUUAAUGCAAGAGGGCAAAGUAAUAGCUUAUGCUUCAAGACAGCUGAAACCGCAUGAGAAGAAUUAUCCAACGCAUGAUUUAGAAUUGGAUGCUAUUGUUUUUGCUUUAAAAAUUUGGCGUCAUUAUUUGUAUGGUGAAAAGUGUCGAAUCUUCACUGAUCAUAAGAGCUUGAAGUAUUUAAUGAGACAAAAAGACUUGAAUUUGCGGCAACGAAGAUGGCUCGAACUAAUUAAAGACUAUGAAUUAGUGAUUGAUUAUCACCCCGGGAAAGCUAAUGUGGUUGCUGAUGCCUUGAGCAGAAAAUCUUUAUUUGCUUUGAGAGCUAUGAGUACGAGAUUAACUUUAUCGGAUGAUGGUUCAAUUUUGGCUGAAAUGAGAGCUAGACCGUUAUUUCUUCAACAAAUUCAGGAAGCUCAAAAGAAUGAUAGUAAAUUGCAAGCAAGGAGAGCUCAAUGUGAAGUAGGUGUUGACUCAGAUUUUCAAAUUGGUUCAGAUGAUUGCCUGAUGUUCCGGGAUAGAGUAUGUAUACCGAGAAAUGAUGAGUUAAUUCAGACCAUUUUAUGUGAGGCACAUAGUGGUGAUUUGUCAGUUCACCCAGGUAGUGUGAAAAUGUAUAAUGAUUUGAAGAAAUUGUAUUGGUGGCCGGGCAUGAAAAAGGAUAUCUCGGAAUUUGUAUCAAAGUGUUUAAUUUGUCAACAAGUGAAAGCUGAGCAUCAAGUACCAUCGGGUUUACUUCAGCUGGUAAUGAUCCCUGAGUGGAAGUGGGACAGUAUCACGAUGGAUUUUGUGACAGGAUUGCCUUUAACUCCAAAGAAGAAAGAUGCUAUUUGGGUAAUUGUUGAUAGACUGACAAAGCCAGCCCAUUUCAUUCCAGUACGCAUUGAUUACUCACUGGACAGGUUGGCGGAGUUAUAUGUUGCUGAAAUAGUGAGAUUACAUGGGGUGCCUAAAUCUAUUAUAUCGGAUAGAGAUUCGAGGUUUACAUCGAGGUUUUGGAUAAAAUUGCAGGAAGCCUUGGGUACGAAAUUGAACUAUAGUACUGCGUUCCAUCCGCAAACUGACGGGCAAUCAAAAAGAGUAAUUCAAGUUCUUGAAAACAUGCUCCGGUGUUGUAUUUUAGAAUUUGAAGGCAGUUGGGAACAAUAUCUACCAUUGGUUGAAUUUGCUUAUAACAACAGCUAUCAGUCAAGUAUACGAAUGGCACCGUAUGAAGCAUUAUAUGGGCGUAAAUGUAGAACUCCUUUAUAUUGGACUAAACUCGGUGAAAACCAAAUUCAUGAAGUUGAUUUGGUGAAAGAAACCGAAGAAAAAGUGAAAAUAAUCCGUGACUGUUUAAAAGCUGCUUCAGAUCGGCAAAAGUCAUAUGCGGAUUUAAAGAGGAAAGAAAUUGAGUUUCAAGUGGGUGAUAAAGUGUUCUUGAAAGUAUCUCCAUGGAACAAGAUUCUGAGAUUUGGGCGUAAAGGCAAAUUGAGUCCACGAUUUAUUGGACCGUAUGAAGUUAUUGAAAGAAUUGGACCUGUAGCUUAUCGGUUAGCUUUACCGGCAGAGUUGGAAAGGAUACUUAAUGUAUUUCAUGUAUCGAUGUUGCGACGUUAUCGUUCGGAUCCUUCACAUAUAGUUUCUCCUACAGAGAUUGAAGUUCGACCGGAUAUGACUUAUGAGGAGGAACCAAUAAAGAUUCUGGCUCGAGAAGUCAAAAAGUUAAGGAAUAAAAGUGUAGCCUUAGUGAAAGUGUUGUGGCAAAAACAUGGAAUGGAAGAGGCUACGUGGGAACCGGAAGAAGUUAUGAGGAAACAGUACCCAAACCUCUUUUCUGGUAAGAUUUUUGGGGACGAAAAUCCCUAAGGGGAGAGAAUUGUAACAUCCCGACUCUGGGCCUAGUCGGAACAGUGGUUUCGGGACCACAAAUCCGACGAGGGAAAAUAUGGUUAUUAUUAUAUUUUCAUGGUCCACAAUUUCACGAAAAAUUUUUGUAAAAAUUUCGUUCGAAAAUUUCGACGUUUGGGCACUCAAUUUAGUCAAAAGGACUAAAUUGUAAAAAGUGCAAAAGUUGAGUUCUACAUCUUAGAGGUAUCUAAUUGUUAUGAAAUUUUAAAUUGGAGGUCUUUAUGUGGUAAUUAGACCAUUAGUUAGUUGAUGGACAAAAAGGGCAUAGAAUUAGUGAAAUAGAUUUUUUUAAGUAAGGACAUUUUAGUCAUUUGGUAAUUAAAUAGAAUUAAAUGGGAAAAAGAUGGCAAAAUAUGCUCAUCUUCUUCAUGGUGAACGAAAUCAGCAAGGGGGAAGCCAUAUUUAGGGUUUUCAAGCUUCCAAGCUCCAUAGUAAGUGAUCCCAAGCCACGCUUUUAAUGUUCUUUACGUUUUUGGAGUCCCGGUAGCUUAAUUUAGCUUAUUCUAGCAAUAAUUCGUGCUAGGGUUCAUAUUUGGAAAAAUACCCAUAGGUGAAAUGUGUUUAUUUUGCUGUUUUAUGGUGGAAUAUGAAGCUAGAAAUUAUGUUAAACAACUUUUGCUAAGCGAUUUUAAACGAAAACGGGUAAAUAGACAUAAUCGGUAAAAAUACCUAAUGUUCAAAAGUGUGUGUUAGAGUAAGAAUUUGAUGUUGUCAUAGAAGGGAAAAAUGUUCAACAUGUCAUAAAACAUAAGAAUAAGAGAUGAAGUUUAAUUUCCGAGCUUAGGGAUGAAAAUGUAAAUAUGCAAAAGUUUGGGGGCAAAAUUGUAAUUUUUCAAAAAGUUGGAUGGAGGAUUAUUUUAAUAAAUGUGAACAUUAAAUGAGUUAAAUUUGUUAUUAUAGAUCAAGAAAGACGAGAAGAAUACCUUAAACGGCGAAAAGAGAAAGUAGUGGAGUAAAUUGCAAAAUUACGAUAUUUUGCACUGAGGUAAGUAAACAUGUGAAAUAAUGCAUUAUUUUGAUAUUAUUUGAUAUGUGUUGAGAUUUAUUUGAACAUAGAAUAAAUAUUUGGCAAAGAUUCAAAAAAAAAGUGGCUAAGUGGGGAAAGGUGGUAAAGUGUUGAAAAACACGGUUUCCGGUUGAACACUCGAAAUAGGCCGGAUUACAGUGAAUAAAAAGGGGUUGCUAAGUGCUGAUUCUCCCGAGGGGUUGCUAAGUGCUGAUUCCCCUAUUCAUUGGUGGUUUCUAAGUGCUGAUUCCACCGUAUCUUAAAUGUGAAGGGAGUUGCUAAGUGCUGAUUCCCCCAAGGGGUUGCUAAGUGCUGAUUCCCCGACUCAUUGGUGGUUGCUAAGUGCUGAUUCCACCGUAUCUUAAAUGUGAAGGGGGUUGCUAAGUGUUGAUUCCCCCGAGAGGUUGCUAAGUGUUGAUUCCCCGAAUUAUUGGUGGUUGCUAAGUGCUGAACCCACCGUAUCUUAAAUGUGAAAGGGGUUGCUAAGUGCUGAUUCCCCGACUUAUUAGUAGUUGCUAAGUGUUGAAUCCACCGAUAACGGUUAACAUUCCGAGUGUUCAACGAGUAAAUUGGGAAGGUGAAUAUUUAUACAUAUGGUGGACAAGGUUAUGGGAGGAAUAUUGGGUUUGAUACUUAAUCAACCCAUGUAUAAGAUGGGAGGAAAUAUCAAAAGUACAAAAGAAACAAUUUAAAUACAAACCUGUUUCGAACAACAGCAGUUGGGCAACUUUGAAAAAUUACCAUAAAUGGUGGAAAAUGAAUUGGAGGUUGAAUAAUAUAU